Rattus norvegicus (Norway rat) is the source of this 388-nucleotide non-coding RNA. Lineage: Eukaryota; Metazoa; Chordata; Mammalia; Rodentia; Muridae. The record is from RefSeq and is a predicted model, not a curated record.
UCUCCCCGUGGUCUCCCGUGCCAUCCAGAGAGUGAAGAGGGGUCCCUUCAAACACGAAAACACUCCGGGGCGAGGUGUGGAAAGUACCUAUCUGGAAGGGACAUUCUCCACCCAGUACCCCACCCAGAGCCCCUGUGGAGUUUAUGUCCCUCUGCAAUUCAUCUGCUUACAUCAGUUGGCCGACAGAACCAACCUGCUGGGAACCAGUGAGGAUGCUACAGCAUCUUCUCACUUGCCUCGUGCAAGCCUAGGAUACUCCUCCUUCUGUGUCUCCUCCCCUCCUCCUCCUUGGCAAUCUCCACCUCCUCUUCCUCUGGAACAAGGGCUUCCCCUGGAAGCUGCUGCAGUGGUUUCCACCGGCCCUUAAAUAAAUUCUGAAGUAAUCACG